Molecule: long non-coding RNA, 3574 nt
Filed under: Salvia miltiorrhiza (redroot sage)
Lineage: Eukaryota; Viridiplantae; Streptophyta; Magnoliopsida; Lamiales; Lamiaceae
Description: long non-coding RNA (SMIL_LNC004931)
Source: RNAcentral
AAGAAUACUCAAAGAGCUUGAAUACGCGUGAAAUAUUCCUUAAAAAGGAAAAAGGCAUAGUUCGCAUAAAAAGGGUACUCAAAGAACUUGUAUACGCGUUAUAUUCCUUAAAAGGAAAAAGGCAUUUUUAGGGGCUUGGCUAAAACAUUAUCAGAGUUUGUAACGGAAGGUGUAACUGAAAUAAUCAGUGUUUACAGCGGAAUGCAUAACUGAGAUACAUGUAUGAAGACAUGUAUCCUUUCUGAGCCUACUUUAAGUUCGACAAAAACUCCAUUCAGCAACACUUCAUCGCCCAUCACAGCUCAACCUACACAAACAUAAACAUCGAAGGGCUAAGUACAAGAGUACUUAUGGGCAGUUGCCAAGCAAUAACAUAACAUCAUUAACAAUUUCACAAUAUCGCAUAAGAGGCAUGAGUUUCUUUCAUAUUCUUUGCUCAUUAAACAUUUCCAAAUUCAUAAAUAGCAUAAGGGCAUUCUUCAUCAUCAAUCUUCAUUAACAAACAUCGUGUCGUGGAGAAGGCCUUCCCAACGAACACGGGCAUCGCGCCGUGAGAGGGGGCCUCCCUCAGCGGUCACGGCAUCGUACUAUUGAGGGAGGCCUCCCCCAAUAGACGCUGUAACACUGGCAUACUGGCAUCGCGCCGCGAGAGAGGCCUCUCUCAGCGGACACGGGCAUCGCGCCGUGAGGAAGGCCCUCCUCAGCGGACACGGCAUCGUACUAUUGAGGGAGGCCUCCCCCAACAGACGCAAGCAUCAAUCACAGGCAUAAACUUAUCAGCGUAAAGCAUUCAAGCGUAAUCAAGCGUAAAUCAUUUAGCGUAAAGCAUAAUAAAGCAUACCACACUUGAAGAUCCAAUUUGCAUUUUAAAGCAUAACACAUGCAUAGCAUUUUAUUUACGCGUAAGAAAUUGCCCACCUGAUAGCAAAGUUUUGCUAAGGUACUCUAACUCCUUGUGUAGUUCUUACUCUCGCGCUUGACCUUAAUCACGAGAAUAUAAAAUAAGACAUUGCCUCGAGGAAAAUUCUUAAUUAAUGAGAAAGCGUAAUUUAACUAUGCAUGAAUCUUGUAUGCAUGAACUAAUUUUCUGAGCGAUAAUCAGGAAUUCUACUAUUAAUCCUCGUUUAUAGAUUUAACUAAUUCUCGUAUAACGCGGUCGAAUAAAGCUGUGAAGUAAACCUCGCAUUUGUACUUGAUUGAAAAAGGACUAAUUCGGCUUUAAACGAGGUGUGACCUUGUAGAAAUUAUCGGGCUUUUCGAUAGAAACAUCAUUACUAGCGUAACCUCAAAUAAUUAAUAGGCUCAAAAGAGAGUAGCCAAUUAAUUAAAUAAACCAGUGGCUUUAAAGAAAUAAAUGAUAAUAGUUCGCUUUAAAGUCCGAAGUCCAAAAACAAUAAUUAAUAAACUGGGCGGCUCAUUUACUGAAUACGAAUCGGCUCACCCACUGAUAAAUAAUUGGGCUCCAUCAAAAUUUGAUACUGCUAGGCUUAGCUCAAAGGAGUAACUUCAACUCAAGCUUUAAAAGAAUUAAAGCCCAACUUAAAGAGUCUUCGACCCAAAACAAUUAAAAUAGGGGUCCAAAUAAUAAUUGAGGUUUGGAAUAAUAGCCCAUCAUAAAAUAUGCAUCAGCCCAACCCUUAAAUAAAUCAAGCCCAAUAGAAUUAAUGAGAAGGACCAAUUAAAUUAAAGACUGGCCCAGUUUGAAUUUAAUGAAAGCUCAAUCAAUUAAAUUGGAAGCUUAAUUCCUUUAGAAUAAAACAAACCCAAGCUCAAAUAAUUCGGCCCAAAUAAUAUAGAUAACGGCCCAAUUCGAAUUUAGAUGUGAAGCCCAAGCCAUUAAAAUUCAAGCCCGAAAAUUAAAAGGGAAAAGCCCAAACAAUUAAAAUAUGAAAGCCCAAGCAAAAGAAAUAAAAUUAAGCCCAUUCUAAAAAAAAUCAGAGGCCCAACAUAAUAAAAAUAAAAACCGGCCCAACAACUUAAGCCCAUUCACUCUUUCCUUCUACAUUUUCGGCCCAAUAGCCAAAGCCCAACAAUUAAAAUAGGGGUAAGCCCAAACAUAGCCCAAUCCCUCUCUCUCUUUCUAAACUCUCGAUCUCUCUUUUAUCUUACGCACGCAGCCUUCUCUCCCCUCAAUUCCCCCAAUCUCAAUCUGCCUUCAGACUAGGCUUCCGCCGCCGCCGCCCGCAAUCCGGCGAGCCAGUCGGUCGUCGCCUCAGUUCUUCCCGACGCCUCUCAUCUUCUCUCAAUUUAGAUACUCUCUUCGGUCCUCUCCCUAUCUCUCCCUCUCGAUCCGUCUCCAGCCUAUCUCUCUCUCUCGGCCAAGAUCUGGUUGGCUGCUGUCGUCUGGGAGCGGUCCUGGAGCUGAUUAUCUUUGUCUGGACUCCGGCGAUUCAAACGGCGCCGGUCGCGUCUGGGAGUGGUUGCUGCUUCGCCUGGAAUCGCCGCCGGCUGGAGUUGCUGCUGUUCGUCCGGUGGUCAGCGCCGACUGCUGCUGUUUCGCCGGAGUCGCGGCCUGCUGGACUUCGUCUGCCGCUGCUCUGUGAACAGGCGGGAGUCGCCGUUGGCGUCGCGCUGCCUUUGCCCUAAAAUUGGCAAGGCUGUUGCUCGACACUCCGCCUCUAUUGGGAACUACCGCCUCCCUGUAACGUCGUUGGAAGCUGCUCCGUACUCGAGCCCCUGCUCUUCUUCCUCAGAAAUCAGCCGUCGCCGCCACUGAAGAAUCGGCGAGGUCUCCGUGCUCUCCUCAUUGUUUUCGUCCGGCAGGUAGCAAGCCAGAGGCUGCCACCGCCACCGCCAAGGGGCAGUCGCCCUCCUCCUCGUUUAUUGAAACAGGUACAAUCCCUUUCCCUCAGAAGCUAAGUUCGAUCCCCAAAUUUUUACUUGGUUCUUAGCGUGAAUCAAAGAUAAAGCGUAAUUUCUUCUUGCUUUGCAUAAACUCAUAUGCUCGUUUAAAACUAUAUAUGAACUGUCACUUGCUCAUAAAGACGUAGUUGGUGUGCUUACUAAGUUCAAGAUGUUUAUAAGGUCUUCUAUAUUUGAAACUGAUCAUGCUCAUGCCUUGAUAUGAAUGCUCACUGGUAUGAAAAAAAUAGGAUAGCAUAAUUACCUUGAAGUAUGCUGUUGGUUUGUGGCUGAGCUUAUGAAUCAAAUGUGCUGAAAAUAAGCCGUAGCUUGAAGCCUUUAUGUUGGUUGGAUAUUGCUUGGUUGUUGUCGAUUUACUAGAACUUGAUACUUUGGCAGAACUCGUGGCUGCUCUUUGAAGAGACCUCUUGGUGACAGGAAAAUGAUAGAGAAUGCUGUGCUCACUGCUGGAGUUGAGAUAAGUGGAGGAGAGUUGUUGGCUAGUGGCCUUAAAGAAACGAGAUGGUGGAGGUGGUUUGAAUAGGUGGGGAGCAAUAGGUGGUGGCAGCACAUUUAUUUUGCUUUCCACUAACUUUAUUGACUUUUCUAUCCCUCUUCUUUAAUUGUUGUGCCAACUUGAGUGAGUGGCAGUAAGGUGGCGUAAAUUCAACCUUGUAAUAUACUAUACAAUUUUUCCCAAGCUGGGAAGUAGACUGUAUUCGUGAACUGUAAA